RNAcentral lists this transfer RNA (58 nucleotides) under Chitinophagales bacterium. Its description in RNAcentral is "tRNA-OTHER". The stretch from base 3 to 51 matches the Rfam family "tRNA", at positions 7 to 64 of the family's 71-position model. Rfam says of the family: Transfer RNA (tRNA) molecules are approximately 80 nucleotides in length. Their secondary structure includes four short double-helical elements and three loops (D, anti-codon, and T loops). Lineage: Bacteria; Pseudomonadati; Bacteroidota; Chitinophagia; Chitinophagales. The record is from RNAcentral.
AAGUAGCUCAGUGGUUAGAGCAGUACAAUGUAUGCAGGUUCGAAUCCUGCCCGUGUUG